AGAAAAGCCCGCGCCAGAGCGGAGGAGUCCGUGCCAGAGCAGAGCGGACGUGCCAGAGCAGAGCGAAAAUGCCAUAGUCACAGCAGAACAUCUCCAAAGCUGAACUUCACUAUCAGAGCUAAAUUCUCCAGAGCAGAACAAACUUAUCAGAGCAGAGCUAAGACUCGACAGAGCUAAAGUUCCAGAUCUGAACAUUCCAGAGCCGAUCUUAUCCAGAGUGUACAAUUUCCAGAGCUGACUUUACGCGCUAGAGUCAACAUAUUUCUUCAGAGUCAACACAAUUCCAGAGCUGACUUUAUCUCCAGAGCUGAAUGUUCCAGAGCAGACUACCACUCUACAGAGCUGAACUAACCAGAGCAUACUUUACUCGCCAGAGCUGACUACUUAUCCAGAGCUGACUUCCAGCUCUGCCAUGACCGCCAGAGUUAGCAAAUUUUCGCCAGAGCUGCCGUUACUUGCAGAGCACGCUGUGAGCUGGACUUUCCUUCCCUGUUACGAUUCUAUUUCCUUAAGACAUGUUUGCUGGGCUGAUUUUGAUGGUAAUUAGGGUUGAAAGGAAGUCUAUAAAAAGGGGCUUGAACGUAAAUCAAGAAAUACAUCUUUUGCCUCCGGUACUUAGUUAAUUCCUUUAGCCUUUGGAACAAGAUUAGCUUCGACCUUAGGCAAUCAAAACAAUCUUUAGUUUAAUUCUCGUUUUAGAUAACUCUUUAGUUUCGAGUUUUAGAUAGUUCUUAGUUAGCUUUCAAUUCAAGUUUUAGUUUAGUUCUUCG
Molecule: long non-coding RNA, 770 nt
Filed under: Salvia miltiorrhiza (redroot sage)
Lineage: Eukaryota; Viridiplantae; Streptophyta; Magnoliopsida; Lamiales; Lamiaceae
Description: long non-coding RNA (SMIL_LNC012883)
Source: RNAcentral